RNAcentral lists this ribosomal RNA (2933 nucleotides) under Enterobacter cloacae. RNAcentral describes it as "bacterial LSU rRNA". It matches the Rfam family "Bacterial large subunit ribosomal RNA". Lineage: Bacteria; Pseudomonadati; Pseudomonadota; Gammaproteobacteria; Enterobacterales; Enterobacteriaceae. The record is from RNAcentral. RNAcentral also lists the same sequence under 1 other name.
GGGUUGUGAGGUUAAGCGACUAAGCGUACACGGUGGAUGCCCUGGCAGUCAGAGGCGAUGAAGGACGUGCUAAUCUGCGAAAAGCGCCGGCGAGGUGAUAUGAACCUUUGACCCGGCGAUGUCCGAAUGGGGAAACCCAGUGUGUUCCGACACACUAUCGUUAACUGAAUACAUAGGUUAACGAGGCGAACCGGGGGAACUGAAACAUCUAAGUACCCCGAGGAAAAGAAAUCAACCGAGAUUCCCCCAGUAGCGGCGAGCGAACGGGGAGCAGCCCAGAGUCUGAAUCAGCUUGUGUGUUAGUGGAAGCGUCUGGAAAGUCGCACGGUACAGGGUGACAGUCCCGUACACGAAAAUGCACAGGUUGUGAACUCGAAGAGUAGGGCGGGACACGUGGUAUCCUGUCUGAAUAUGGGGGGACCAUCCUCCAAGGCUAAAUACUCCUGACUGACCGAUAGUGAACCAGUACCGUGAGGGAAAGGCGAAAAGAACCCCGGCGAGGGGAGUGAAAAAGAACCUGAAACCGUGUACGUACAAGCAGUGGGAGCACCUUCGUGGUGUGACUGCGUACCUUUUGUAUAAUGGGUCAGCGACUUAUAUUCUGUAGCAAGGUUAACCGUAUAGGGGAGCCGAAGGGAAACCGAGUCUUAACUGGGCGUUAAGUUGCAGGGUAUAGACCCGAAACCCGGUGAUCUAGCCAUGGGCAGGUUGAAGGUUGGGUAACACUAACUGGAGGACCGAACCGACUAAUGUUGAAAAAUUAGCGGAUGACUUGUGGCUGGGGGUGAAAGGCCAAUCAAACCGGGAGAUAGCUGGUUCUCCCCGAAAGCUAUUUAGGUAGCGCCUCGUGAACUCAUCUUCGGGGGUAGAGCACUGUUUCGGCUAGGGGGCCAUCCCGGCUUACCAACCCGAUGCAAACUACGAAUACCGAAGAAUGUUAUCACGGGAGACACACGGCGGGUGCUAACGUCCGUCGUGAAGAGGGAAACAACCCAGACCGCCAGCUAAGGUCCCAAAGUCAUGGUUAAGUGGGAAACGAUGUGGGAAGGCACAGACAGCCAGGAUGUUGGCUUAGAAGCAGCCAUCAUUUAAAGAAAGCGUAAUAGCUCACUGGUCGAGUCGGCCUGCGCGGAAGAUGUAACGGGGCUAAACCAUGCACCGAAGCUGCGGCAGCGACGCUUAUGCGUUGUUGGGUAGGGGAGCGUUCUGUAAGCCGUUGAAGGUGGCCUGUGAGGGUUGCUGGAGGUAUCAGAAGUGCGAAUGCUGACAUAAGUAACGAUAAAGCGGGUGAAAAGCCCGCUCGCCGGAAGACCAAGGGUUCCUGUCCAACGUUAAUCGGGGCAGGGUGAGUCGACCCCUAAGGCGAGGCCGAAAGGCGUAGUCGAUGGGAAACAGGUUAAUAUUCCUGUACUUGGUGUUACUGCGAAGGGGGGACGGAGAAGGCUAUGUUAGCCGGGCGACGGUUGUCCCGGUUUAAGCAUGUAGGCGGAACGAUUAGGUAAAUCCGGUCGUUUUUUAACGCUGAGGUGUGAUGACGAGGCACUACGGUGCUGAAGUAACAAAUGCCCUGCUUCCAGGAAAAGCCUCUAAGCAUCAGGUAACAUCAAAUCGUACCCCAAACCGACACAGGUGGUCAGGUAGAGAAUACCAAGGCGCUUGAGAGAACUCGGGUGAAGGAACUAGGCAAAAUGGUGCCGUAACUUCGGGAGAAGGCACGCUGAUAUGUAGGUGAAGCCCCUGCGGGUGGAGCUGAAAUCAGUCGAAGAUACCAGCUGGCUGCAACUGUUUAUUAAAAACACAGCACUGUGCAAACACGAAAGUGGACGUAUACGGUGUGACGCCUGCCCGGUGCCGGAAGGUUAAUUGAUGGGGUUAGCGGUAACGCGAAGCUCUUGAUCGAAGCCCCGGUAAACGGCGGCCGUAACUAUAACGGUCCUAAGGUAGCGAAAUUCCUUGUCGGGUAAGUUCCGACCUGCACGAAUGGCGUAAUGAUGGCCAGGCUGUCUCCACCCGAGACUCAGUGAAAUUGAACUCGCUGUGAAGAUGCAGUGUACCCGCGGCAAGACGGAAAGACCCCGUGAACCUUUACUAUAGCUUGACACUGAACACUGGUCCUUGAUGUGUAGGAUAGGUGGGAGGCUUUGAAGUGUGGACGCCAGUCUGCAUGGAGCCGUCCUUGAAAUACCACCCUUUAAUGGCUGGUGUUCUAACGUAGACCCGUGAUCCGGGUUGCGGACAGUGUCUGGUGGGUAGUUUGACUGGGGCGGUCUCCUCCCAAAGAGUAACGGAGGAGCACGAAGGUUAGCUAAUCCUGGUCGGACAUCAGGAGGUUAGUGCAAUGGCAUAAGCUAGCUUGACUGCGAGAGUGACGGCUCGAGCAGGUGCGAAAGCAGGUCAUAGUGAUCCGGUGGUUCUGAAUGGAAGGGCCAUCGCUCAACGGAUAAAAGGUACUCCGGGGAUAACAGGCUGAUACCGCCCAAGAGUUCAUAUCGACGGCGGUGUUUGGCACCUCGAUGUCGGCUCAUCACAUCCUGGGGCUGAAGUAGGUCCCAAGGGUAUGGCUGUUCGCCAUUUAAAGUGGUACGCGAGCUGGGUUUAGAACGUCGUGAGACAGUUCGGUCCCUAUCUGCCGUGGGCGCUGGAGAAUUGAGGGGGGCUGCUCCUAGUACGAGAGGACCGGAGUGGACGCAUCACUGGUGUUCGGGUUGUCAUGCCAAUGGCACUGCCCGGUAGCUAAAUGCGGAAAAGAUAAGUGCUGAAAGCAUCUAAGCACGAAACUUGCCCCGAGAUGAGUUCUCCCUGAGACUUUAAGUCUCCUGAAGGAACGUUGAAGACGACGACGUUGAUAGGUCGGGUGUGUAAGCGCAGCGAUGCGUUGAGCUAACCGAUACUAAUGAACCGUGAGGCUUAACCUUACAACGCCGAAGGUGUUU